Molecule: ribosomal RNA, 227 nt
Filed under: Triticum aestivum (bread wheat)
Lineage: Eukaryota; Viridiplantae; Streptophyta; Magnoliopsida; Poales; Poaceae
Description: rRNA LSU_rRNA_eukarya
Rfam family: Bacterial large subunit ribosomal RNA
Source: RNAcentral
CAUAGGCAGUGGCUUGGUUAAGGGAACGGAACCCACCGGAGCCGUAGCGAAAGCGAGUCUUAAUAGGGCGAUUGUCACUGCUUAUGGACCCAAACCUGGGUGAUCUAUCCAUGACCAGGAUGAAGCUUGGAUGAAACUAAGCAGAGGUCCGAACCGACUGAUGUUGAAGAAUCAACGGAUGAGUUGUGGUUAGGGGUGAAAUGCCACUCGAACCCAGAGCUAGCUGG